AGACAUUUCCUUUUGAAACAUCGUUCUUCUCUCUAACUUACUCGUAAUACCAUCUUUUAUACCGUGCUCGUUAGGUGAUCGAUAAUAACCAGAGAGAGAAAUAGGAAGACAACAUUUUUAAAGGUCAUGACGACGAACCUUCUCGAUUCCGAUGUAGUAUUGUUUUACAAAGCUCGAACGGUGGUAGGGGGCUAGGAAAUAUCUCCCUUCAAAGGAUCCAAAGGUAAGCUGCUUCGUUAAGAGGAUAUAAUCGAUUGCGUUCAGAAGGUUGGUCGAAGAGACGUCCGACGGUACACACAGAUCGUGGGUCAAAGUGGAAUGUUUUCUCUAAUGGGGAAAUAUUCCUUCGUAGAAAAGAAGAUUUCAUUCCGGAAUCUUCUUUCAUUUCAUCUUGUUCCAUCUUCAGAAGGAUGCAACGCAGUCGAGAAGGGAAAAUAAGGAUCUACAAUAACGUUGACCGUGUCUUUGUAUAUCGAACUAAUGUUAAUUUGGAUAGCAAUUGGCUAGAAAAUUAUAUGUACCGUAAUAAUGUUUAUUUCAAUGCCGUUCGGGUGUUUGGGAACGAUAAAGAAAAUCUCACGGCGAUUCUCAAAGAUACCAAAAAGGAAGUUCUGCGAAUCAAUUUUGAAGAAAAUGGUGAUACAGGGGAUGAAGAAGGCGAAGGUGACGAUAUAGGGAUAUACUAAACCAACGGAAGACGAAAGCAGUUCCAAUAGCCUGGAUGUAUUGCAAAGGAGCCGAAUUGACUUAUAUUUGAAUUGUAAUUCCAAAGAAGAACAACGCUCCACCAGAUAAUAUAACAUUGCAUAUCCAAAGUGAAACACAUUUUCAUUGACACUUUCUGUUCUUCCGUACAUCCGACUAUACGUCCUAUAUGGAUAGUACAAAUCAAGCCAGACCAUCAACGAGAUUAAUAUAUGGAAACAUUUUCCUUUUUACAUUUAUGCUUAAAUGGAAAAUCAAUCAAUGCUGUGUUUAUUGAAUGGUAAGAUAUUUUAGACAUAAGAUAAAUUUUUCAUUCUAAAAUGUAAUGUGGACUAUACAAUCUAUAUCGUAUCUAUAUACCUUAUAAUAAUUUAUUGAAUAUCUUCGAAGAUUUUAUACAGUCGAAGAAAGUAUUUUUAUUUACAAGUGAAUUUAUCACAAAUAUUCGAAAUGGUAUUAAACCCAAAUUGGAGUAAUUAUCCGGUAAUUUCUAUAAUAUGGAAAUGUUAUUUUCUAAUAAAUCUUAUGCAAAUAGCUACUGCUAAAUUUUGAAGAAGAUUGAUGGAAUAAUGGAAUGACUAGAGAUAAUGGUGUUUAAACCGUCUUUGUUAUUUGUAAAGCUGUUCUUUCGGAAGUAUGGUAGCUAGGGAUUAUUUCGCGUAUGACACACACUUGCGUAUUA
Vespula vulgaris is the source of this 1387-nucleotide long non-coding RNA. RefSeq lists it as uncharacterized. NCBI's taxonomy places the organism in Eukaryota, Metazoa, Arthropoda, Insecta, Hymenoptera, Vespidae. The record is from RefSeq and is a predicted model, not a curated record. The transcript has 2 exons.